Molecule: ribosomal RNA, 417 nt
Filed under: uncultured bacterium
Lineage: Bacteria
Description: bacterial SSU rRNA
Rfam family: Bacterial small subunit ribosomal RNA
Source: RNAcentral
GGAAUAUUGGUCAAUGGACGAAAGUCUGAACCAGCCAUGCCGCGUGCAGGAUGACUGCCCUAUGGGUUGUAAACUGCUUUUAUACGGGAAUAAACCUCCGAACGUGUUCGGAGCUGAAGGUACCGUAAGAAUAAGGAUCGGCUAACUCCGUUCCAGCAGCCGCGGUAAUACGGAGGAUCCAAGCGUUAUCCGGAUUUAUUGGGUUGAAAGGGUCCGGAGGCGGGAUAUUAAGUCAGUGGUGAAAGCCUACAGCUUAACUGUAGAACUGCCAUUGAUACUGGUAUUCUUGAGUGUAGUUGAGGUGGGCGGAAUAAGUCAUGUAGCGGUGAAAUGCAUAGAUAUGACUUAGAACACCGAUUGCGAAGGCAGCUCACUAAACUACUACUGACGCUGAGGGACGAAAGCGUGGGGAGCGAA